UACGUAGGGUCCAAGCGUUAAUCGGAAUUACUGGGCGUAAAGCGUGCGCAGGCGGUGAUGUAAGACAGGUGUGAAAUCCCCGGGCUUAACCUGGGAACUGCAUUUGUGACUGCAUCGCUGGAGUGCGGCAGAGGGGGAUGGAAUUCCGCGUGUAGCAGUGAAAUGCGUAGAUAUGCGGAGGAACACCGAUGGCGAAGGCAUCCCCUGGGCCUGCACUGACGCUCAUGCACGAAAGCGUGGGGAGCAAACAGG
Molecule: ribosomal RNA, 252 nt
Filed under: uncultured bacterium
Lineage: Bacteria
Description: partial 16S ribosomal RNA
Rfam family: Bacterial small subunit ribosomal RNA
Source: RNAcentral